Siniperca chuatsi (mandarin fish) is the source of this 2603-nucleotide long non-coding RNA. RefSeq lists it as uncharacterized. The transcript has 2 exons. NCBI's taxonomy places the organism in Eukaryota, Metazoa, Chordata, Actinopteri, Centrarchiformes, Sinipercidae. The record is from RefSeq and is a predicted model, not a curated record.
AGGGGAGGGUGAGGCGAACGGUAUUCAAAUGGUCACUGCAAUUUCACUGCUAGAUUCCACUAAAUCCUACAUACUGGACCUUUAAGUAAUUAACUGAUUGAUUAUCAAAACUGUUUUCCACAAAUUGUAUGCCAAUUGACUAAUUGGUUAAUACAUCGCUAUAGCACUAUAAUCCUUUUAAAUCAGUUGUAAUGUAACUCAGAAAGUCAGAUUUUCUUGUGCAGUUAAAAAUAUGUAGGCUACAGCUCUUAUUAUCUAAAUAUUUUGUUCACGCCAUUUGAUUGUCCUAACUCCCCUUUGUUUGGAUUAAACAACCAAAUGACAAAGCCUUAAUUCAGGAGCUGAGAAACGUGCCCAUACGACAUGAAAACACUGUCUUGGAGAUAUUCUGUCACUGCGGAAGUAGAGUGAAUACAGUCUGGCAUAUGAACACCAUCCAUCAGUUAUUGGUUCCACUGGUGUAGAGUAGACCUGACCAAUAUCAGAUGGCAGUGUAGUGGUGACACACUGAGCGACACCUGGCUGGCACACGUUUGGGAGGCACACUGUUGUCAAAAAUGUCUCGGAUGUUUUCACAAUUAUCUCGUGAGUGAAAGGGUUGGUCUUCAUUCAGCCUGAAAGUCUGAGAACGUGAAUCAGGGUGGGCUUCUUUUUCAUCUGUCCUAAAAAGAAACUAGUUCUUGUUUCUUCCUGCUUCCUCUGCUACUUUCCCCUGCAGUAUUUUGGCUGCAGCCUAAAAGGCCUUCUGGGCUAAUUGUAUAUUGAGUGGGAUCACUUUACCUCUGUGCCCCGCACUUCAGCCUCCACACUGCUCUUGUCACUGGCAGCCUCACUGUAACAAUCUCCAUUUUAAAGCGGCAGGGUCAAUUUCCACCCUGCUCUCGCAUCUGGCUCCACAGUUUAAUUGCUAAUGCAUCUCCUGUUUCUCCUGCUCCAACGUCUGGGCUUGUCUUUCCACGCCCCCGUCCGGUGUCCAGUCUUACUCCUCCUCUUUAAAUCUUUGCCUUUCCUUUCACAUUAAGUUGCCCCUCCUUCCUCUGUUGCCUUUUCAGCCUUGUGUAAUGAAUAACAUUCUUCCUUCUGACAGGAGAACAAAAGCUGUGGGGUGUUUGAUUCACUUGUGAACUGUGUAGACUGUUAUUCAAUUCCUGCUUAAGUAUUAAUAAAGGCUUUACACGCCAGGGGGAGGUCACAAGGUGCAAGUGUAUGCUUGUGUAUCUUGCAUGUAUACGCAUGUGUGUGUGCAGGAGCUAGUUUGUGGGCUGCUCAUUUUUCCUGUGAUGAUCAUGAGAAGAGGGGGACUGUAAAGACUCUGGUAACUGAUGACUGUCUUAUAUAACUCAAGUAAUAAGGAACCUCAGAGGGAACCAAGACGAAGAUGCUAUGAAAGCUCUUCAAAGGUUUGGAUGGGUGGUGGAAGGACUCUGCAGCAGCAAACACCUGGGUCACUGCUGACAGUGUAGAAUGUCAUCACCAUCAUCUCAAGAGCACAUGUGCACACGCCUGUCCUAUUCCUAAAGUGCUGAACUGACAAGGAGAAGAAACAGUUAAAGAAGGAUCAGCAGUCAUCAUCGCCCACAUGGACCAGGCUUCUCACCCUGCGACACAGUUUGAGGUGGACGUGGACCUGGGCUUCGCUCUCUUCUUCCUCUUCCUCCUGUGUUUCUUCCUGCUGGUGACGGUGGUGCGCUGUGCCCAGACUGUAGUGGAUCCUUAUGGCUCCAUCUCCACCUCCACCUACCAGGAGGAGCAGAUCACCUGAGAGAGAGGAGGGGGAAAUCCAUCACCAACAGGACUCUGUAGGACUCUAGGAAAUUAAGAUACACUCUCACUGCUGUAUAAGAAUAUAUUUUUAGACAAGUCCGGCCACUUCUGAACAAAAAGGAAUCAUUAUUACACUCUCAUUGAAGUCAGAAGAUACGUAUCAGGUUGUGUUUGAGUGUUUCUGACUUGAAUGCUUUCAAAUAACCCUCGGGCGGAUUACUGAAUGGACCUACUGAGCACACUCCCAGGGGCCAGAGGCAUCAAGAGGCCUGACACAGACCUUCUGUUUAAAGUGUUAACAACAGGAACAACAAGAGCUCAGUCGAAAAUAGCAAUGUUCUUAUCACAUUUAUUUGCUCCUGAUAAUGAUCUGAGUCUGUGAAUAUUAAGCAUCUGCCAAUUUUAGGAGCAAUCGUGUAUUUAUUUUUAGUAUAUGUUUAUUUUCCCCCCUACUGUCGAUAAUACAGCUUCAUGGUGCAAAUGUAGCAAUAAUCCUAUAUUCCUACAUAAAAAUGUGUAAGUAAUUUAUGCCUCUGUGACCAGGGGCCUAUCGUCUCAUAAUCUGUCCAUGAAACAGCCUGUUAAUGCAGCAGCUAUUACCAGAUGUGUUUCUCUGAAGAGACAUGACUCAUCCUCCUCAGUACUACAUUGAUCUGUGCAGCUAUCCUGCAAAGCUUUGGGGAUGAGGAAUCCUACAGAUCCUCUUCCUGAGAGGAAAUAUUGGGACUGCAGUGCUCAGACAAAGCAUUCAGCUCAACUCUCCUUGCUCAUGGAAUGAACCAUUAACAAAUGACAUUGCUUUUAUUAUUUUGUACAAUAAACUAUGUGCAUGUGAUGUA